RNAcentral lists this ribosomal RNA (407 nucleotides) under uncultured bacterium. Its description in RNAcentral is "partial 16S ribosomal RNA". It matches the Rfam family "Bacterial small subunit ribosomal RNA", at positions 28 to 526 of the family's 1533-position model. The record is from RNAcentral.
GACGAACGCUGGCGGCGUGCCUAAUACAUGCAAGUAGGACGCAGUUGCGAACGGGUGAGUAACGAGUAGGUAACUACCUAUGAGAGGGGGAUAACUAAUGGAAACGAUAGCAAAUACAGCAUACUAGUAGAUGGCACUGCGUUGUAUUAGCUAGUAGGUAGGGUAAUGGCCUACUUAGGCAACGAUACAUAGCCGACCGGAGAGGGUGAUCGGCCACACUGGUACUGAGCCACGGCCCAGCCUCCUCCGGGAGGCAGCAGUAGGGAAUCUUCGGCAAUGGGGGGAACCCUGACCGAGCAACGCCGCGUGAGUGAAGAAGGUUUUCGGAUCGUAAAACUCUGUUAUUAGUGAAGCGGUACCUAAUCAGAAAGCCACUGCUAACUACGUGCCAGCCGCCGCGGUAAUUC